GUUUAUUUGAAAGUCCCUUACUACAUGGAUAACCGUAGUAAUUCUAGAGCUAAUACAUGCAUCAAGGCCCACACUGCCUCGGCGGACGGGCUGCAUUGAUUAGACCGAAACCAAUGCGUCUUCGGACGGUUUUGUGGUGAAUCAU
RNAcentral lists this ribosomal RNA (145 nucleotides) under Saccorhiza dermatodea. RNAcentral describes it as "nuclear SSU rRNA". It matches the Rfam family "Eukaryotic small subunit ribosomal RNA", at positions 115 to 254 of the family's 1831-position model. The record is from RNAcentral. Lineage: Eukaryota; Phaeophyceae; Tilopteridales; Phyllariaceae.